RNAcentral lists this transfer RNA (72 nucleotides) under Heterocephalus glaber (naked mole-rat). It matches the Rfam family "tRNA". From Rfam's summary of the family: Transfer RNA (tRNA) molecules are approximately 80 nucleotides in length. Their secondary structure includes four short double-helical elements and three loops (D, anti-codon, and T loops). Lineage: Eukaryota; Metazoa; Chordata; Mammalia; Rodentia; Bathyergidae. The record is from Rfam by way of RNAcentral.
GAGGAUGUAGCUCAGUGGUAGAACACUUGCCUCACGUGCAUGAGGCCCUGGAUUCAAUAUCCAGCACCAUCC